GCCCAGGUGGUGAAAUUGGGAGACACGCCAGAUUUAGGUUCUGGUACCGCAAGGUGUGGGGGUUCAAGUCCCUUCCUGGGCA
Molecule: transfer RNA, 82 nt
Filed under: Chlamydiota bacterium
Lineage: Bacteria; Pseudomonadati; Chlamydiota
Description: Chlamydiae bacterium (freshwater metagenome) tRNA-Leu
Rfam family: tRNA
About the family: Transfer RNA (tRNA) molecules are approximately 80 nucleotides in length.
Source: RNAcentral